Molecule: ribosomal RNA, 321 nt
Filed under: uncultured Anaerolineaceae bacterium
Lineage: Bacteria; Bacillati; Chloroflexota; Anaerolineae; Anaerolineales; Anaerolineaceae
Description: bacterial SSU rRNA
Rfam family: Bacterial small subunit ribosomal RNA
Source: RNAcentral
GAACGGAGAUUGUAGCAACACGGUCUUUGUGGCGAACGGGUGAGUACGCGUUGGUGAUCUGCCUCGAAGUGUGGAAUAAUGAUUCGAAAGAAUCGCUAAUACCGCAUAGUCUCUCUUUUUCCAGAAAUUUGAGAGUAAAGGAUUUAUUCGCUUUGAGAGGAGCCUGCGUCCCAUCAGCUAGUUGGUAAGGUAAUGGCCUACCAAGGCGAUGACGGGUAGGGGACCUGAGAGGGUGGCCCCCCACAAUGGAACUGAAACACGGUCCAUACACCUACGGGUGGCAGCAGUAGGGAAUAUUAGAAAUGGACGAAAGUCUGAUCU